Molecule: ribosomal RNA, 477 nt
Filed under: Helicobacter pylori
Lineage: Bacteria; Pseudomonadati; Campylobacterota; Epsilonproteobacteria; Campylobacterales; Helicobacteraceae
Description: bacterial SSU rRNA
Rfam family: Bacterial small subunit ribosomal RNA
Source: RNAcentral
UAUCAGCUUGUUGGUAAGGUAAUGGCUUACCAAGGCUAUGACGGGUAUCCGGCCUGAGAGGGUGAACGGACACACUGGAACUGAGACACGGUCCAGACUCCUACGGGAGGCAGCAGUAGGGAAUAUUGCUCAAUGGGGGAAACCCUGAAGCAGCAACGCCGCGUGGAGGAUGAAGGUUUUAGGAUUGUAAACUCCUUUUGUUAGAGAAGAUAAUGACGGUAUCUAACGAAUAAGCACCGGCUAACUCCGUGCCAGCAGCCGCGGUAAUACGGAGGGUGCAAGCGUUACUCGGAAUCACUGGGCGUAAAGAGCGCGUAGGCGGGAUAGUCAGUCAGGUGUGAAAUCCUAUGGCUUAACCAUAGAACUGCAUUUGAAACUACUAUUCUAGAGUGUGGGAGAGGUAGGUGGAAUUCUUGGUGUAGGGGUAAAAUCCGUAGAGAUCAAGUAGGUAAUACUCAUUGCGAAGGCGACCUGCUG